UACGGCGAGGGCUGAUAUGGGUUAGAGCAAUUGUCUCGUAUUGCAUAUACAAAAAAAACGUAUUUAUUAGUAAGUACGUAAUAAAUGCUGAUACCAUGUGUAUUAGAUUUGGAAAAAGUAAUAUUGUCAUACUGCUAAAGGGAUUUAGAGGUAGUUUAUCUGAAGAGAGUGAUAUUAGAUUUAAUGAUAUUAAGAAGCUUGUUUAUAUCAUGAAUUUCUUGAAUGGAUGAUUUCUGUUGCUAAAAUGUAACAUAAAAGAAUUGUAAGUUUGGGUUUAUAUAGACUUGUAUCUGUAUAGAAUCAUGUGAUCUUGUAUUGUUUAGGACAAAAGUCAGCAACCUAUUGCAUUGUAGGUUUUAUUUCAGGCAUAUGUUGUUUCCUACGUAUAAGAAACAUUUAACCAAGCAAAAAAAGCAAGAAAAAGGGGGAAAUGAAGUAUCAACAGAAGUAUGAGGACAAACAUUGAAGUCUUACCAUCAGUCAGGUGUUUACUGAAUACGUCUCAAUUAACAGGUUAUAUACCCACAAUACUUCUAGUAUUUCUGAGGAGUUGCUAAUGUGGUAGACAGUUUAGUCGGUCACCUCCAGUACUUGCAUUAAAACUUGUACAUUUCAUAGGCUAGAAAAUAGGAGAAAUAGUUUACUGGUUGUCAAUAAAGAGUUUAUUAUAGUACUAUUGUGUAAAAAGUAGGCUUUAUGAUAUUUAUUUUACAUUUACUAAUUUUGCUGGCAGACUAUUUAUUUAAUACCUGCAAAGUUAUUAUUAUACAAAUCUUUUUUUUCUUCUAACAAGUUAGGGAGUAUUUUUGUUACAUAUCAACUGUACUGCCACGCCUUUGCACAUGUUAAGAUACCACCUAUAUAUAUAUAUAUCUGUAUAGAAUGUUUAUAUUGGAGUGUAUAUUUCUAUUGCACACAGCUCUAUGUUUCAUAGGCGAUAGAUACAAAUGACAUCGGAAAAUUAUUCAGGUUCCCAGUUAAGGAAUUAACAGAGAAAUUCUACGUUUAAAGGUCAGCUUCGAUUGCAAUAAAACACAAGUACAAUAAUGGAUGCCAGCUGUUUUGCCUUGUGUAAAAGGGAUAUAGCCACUUGAUGAGUAAUUGUAUAAUGUAUCAAAUCUCCAUUGUUUAAAAUAGCUGAUGUGUGUUGAUUGUUACUCCAUAUACAUCAGACUGAUACCUGUAUAUUUUACCCGUUGUGAUUUGCCUGAAAGGCACAAUAGAUCUGAACUGUGCUGUUUAGGUGUCUACUGUACAAAUUUACUGUACACCAAAUAGGCACAGAAAGUUUAAUUCAUGUAUUUGUUUUUCAUAAAUUUGUAUGAAUAUAAAUAGCUAAUUUCUCACUUGCAUGUCCACACCGUUAGGUAGUUUUGUGUGGGCUCACUGGCUCAGCUUGUCUCAGCUUUAUUUAGCUGAAUAUUUAUUACAAUUUCGCUUGUGGUCAAUUCAGUUUAUUAUGCAACACAUUACAUAAUGUGCAAAGAUAUUUUGAUGAAAUAAAAGUAUCAAAAUUGUACAAAGUGUACAAUAUUUUGAGAUUAAGACCUGUGCCAUGCUAACAAAGGUUUCCACUAUUAUUAUAGAAUAUACUUGUAUUGUGUCUACUGUGUUUAUAGCACGUAUUACGAGUAUUAGUAUUGAUACUGAUGUUGCAGGUAGUGUAGUACUAUACUGAUGUUGCAGGAGUGUAGUACUAUACGGAUGUUGCAGGGAGUGUAGUACUAUACUGAUGUUGUAGGGAGUGUAGUACUAUACUGAUGUUGCAGGGAGUGUAGUACUAUACGGAUGUUGCUGGGAGUGUAGUACUAUACUGAUGUUGCAGGGAGUGUAGUACUAUACUGAUGGUGAAGGACACACUGCUUGAGGUGUUGGUCCUGAAGCACUUGUGUAUAAUUACAAAAUUAAUGUCUUAACAAAUCUCACUCUCUUUGUCACUCUUUUCUUCUUCAUCUCUCUGAAAUUUUGAAGACUUUCCAGCAAAAUGGAGUUCCUUUUAAGAUCACAAGGUCCUCCUUCUAACAUGUGAUGAACCUGUGUCAGUAUGCAGAGUAAAUGAAAUUCAGGCAACCAAAUAGGGUACAUGUCUCUGUGUAAGAUGCCUCUGUGAUGUAAACUAAAGGAGGGCCAGAGUUAAACCUGAAGCUGAUCAACUCAAUACAGUAAACUAUCCAUUCUGUAUCUGCCAAAUCAUAUCUGAUCACCAUCAUGUGACUGUCACAUGAUGGUGUUGUAAUACCACUUUCAUUAUAUUACAUGAUUUGUAACAUUCCAACAUAUAUAUAUCUGUAUAUUUCUACAUAAAGAUUAAUAUCU
Molecule: long non-coding RNA, 2316 nt
Filed under: Mizuhopecten yessoensis (Yesso scallop)
Lineage: Eukaryota; Metazoa; Mollusca; Bivalvia; Pectinida; Pectinidae
Description: uncharacterized LOC110454312
Source: RNAcentral